GACGAACGCUGGCGGCGUGCUCAACACAUGCGAGUCGAACGGUGAAGCGCCUUCCUUUUUGGUGGGUGUGGAUGAGUGGCGAACGGGUGAGUAACACGUGAGUAACCUGCCCCCUUCUUCUGGAUAACCGCAUGAAAGUGUGGCUAAUACGGGAUAUUCUGGGUCUGUCGCAUGAUGGGUCUGGGAAAGAUAUUGUUUCGGUGGGGGAUGGGCUCGCGGCCUAUCAGCUUGUUGGUGGGGUGAUGGCCUACCAAGGCGGUGACGGGUAGCCGGCCUGAGAGGGUGGACGGUCACACUGGGACUGAGACACGGCCCAGACUCCUACGGGAGGCAGCAGUGGGGAAUAUUGCACAAUGGGCGCAAGCCUGAUGCAGCGACGCCGCGUGAGGGAUGGAGGCCUGCGGGUUGUGAACCUCUUUCGCCAGUGAAGCAGGCCUGCCUCGUUUGUGGGUGGGUUGACGGUAGCUGGAUAAGAAGCGCCGGCUAACUACGUG
RNAcentral lists this ribosomal RNA (494 nucleotides) under uncultured bacterium. Its description in RNAcentral is "partial 16S ribosomal RNA". It matches the Rfam family "Bacterial small subunit ribosomal RNA", at positions 28 to 507 of the family's 1533-position model. The record is from RNAcentral.